GACGAACGCUGGCGGCGCGCUUAACACAUGCCAGUCGAACGGAAAGGCCUGCUUUCCCUUGUGGAUUGCGGGUACUCGAGUGGCGAACGGGUGAGUAACACGUGAGUGAUCUGCCCCCAACUUGGGUAUAAGCCUGGGAAACUGGGGCUAAUUCCCGAUAGGACUGCAGGGUGGUGCCUGUGGUGGAAAACGAUUUUCUAGUGGUUGGGGAUGAGCUCGCGGCCUAUCAGCUUGUUGGUGGGGUAAUGGCCUACCAAGGCGGCGACGGGUAGCCGGCCUGAGAGGGUGGACGGCCACAUUGGGACUGAGAUACGGCCCAGACUCCUACGGGAGGCAGCAGUGGGGAAUAUUGCACAAUGGGCGGAAGCCUGAUGCAGCGACGCCGCGUGGGGGAUGACGGCCUUCGGGUUGUAAACUCCUUUCGACCGCGAGGAAGCCACCUGGUUGGAAGGGUGGUGACGGUAGUGGUAGAAGAAGCACCGGCUAACUACGUG
Molecule: ribosomal RNA, 494 nt
Filed under: uncultured bacterium
Lineage: Bacteria
Description: partial 16S ribosomal RNA
Rfam family: Bacterial small subunit ribosomal RNA
Source: RNAcentral